RNAcentral lists this ribosomal RNA (405 nucleotides) under uncultured Entrophospora. Its description in RNAcentral is "SSU rRNA". It matches the Rfam family "Eukaryotic small subunit ribosomal RNA", at positions 569 to 971 of the family's 1831-position model. Lineage: Eukaryota; Fungi; Glomeromycota; Glomeromycetes; Entrophosporales; Entrophosporaceae. The record is from RNAcentral.
AGCAGCCGCGGUAAUUCCAGCUCCAAUAGCGUAUAUUAAAGUUGUUGCAGUUAAAAAGCUCGUAGUUGAAUUUCGGGAUUGACACAUCGGUCGUGCCUUAAGGGGUAUGAACUGGUGUAGUCAAUUUCUCACCUUCUGGAGAACCGCGAUGCCCUUAAUUGGGUGUCGCGGGGAACCAGGACCUUUACUUUGAAAAAAUUAGAGUGUUUAAAGCAGGCAUUUUGCUUGAAUACAUUAGCAUGGAAUAAUAAAAUAGGACGGCAUGAUUCUAUUUUGUUGGUUUCUUAGGAUCACCGUAAUGAUUAAUAGGGAUAGUUGGGGGCAUUAGUAUUCAAUUGUCAGAGGUGAAAUUCUUGGAUUUAUUGAAGACUAACUACUGCGAAAGCAUUUGCCAAGGAUGUUUUC